RNAcentral lists this ribosomal RNA (604 nucleotides) under Coryphaena equiselis. Its description in RNAcentral is "partial 16S ribosomal RNA". It matches the Rfam family "Bacterial large subunit ribosomal RNA", at positions 1852 to 2619 of the family's 2925-position model. Lineage: Eukaryota; Metazoa; Chordata; Actinopteri; Carangiformes; Coryphaenidae. The record is from RNAcentral.
GUGCCACCUGCCCGGUGACACCAAUUUAACGGCCGCGGUAUCCUGACCGUGCGAAGGUAGCGUAAUCAUUUGUCUUUUAAAUGGGGACUUGUAUGAAUGGUAUAACGAGGGCUUAACUGUCUCCUCCCUCUUGUCAAUGAAAUUGAUCUCCCCGUGCAGAAGCGGGGAUACUCUCAUAAGACGAGAAGACCCUAUGGAGCUUUAGAUACUAAGGUAGCCCAUAUUCAAUGAACCCUUGCUAAAGGAUUAAAUCUAUGGUAACCCUACCCCUAUAUCUUCGGUUGGGGCGACAAUGGGGAAAUAAAAAUCCCCCAUGCGGAACGGGAAAAUUUUAUUUAAGAAAACUAUUCUUACCAUAAAACUACUUCCCCAAAUUAAGAGUGACAACUCUAAGUUACAGUAUUUCUGACCAUAAAUGAUCCGGCGCUUGCCGAUUAACGGACCAAGUUACCCUAGGGAUAACAGCGCAAUCCCCUUUUAGAGCCCACAUCAACAAGGGGGUUUACGACCUCGAUGUUGGAUCAGGACAUCCUAUUGGUGCAGCCGCUAUUAAGGGUUCGUUUGUUCAACGAUUAAAGUCCUACGUGAUCUGAGUUCAGACCGG